CAGUUGGAAACAGCUGCUAAUACCGGAUAUGAGACGUGACCGCAUGGUCGACGUUUGGAAAGAAUUUCGGUCAGGGAUGAGCUCGCGGCCUAUCAGCUUGUUGGUGAGGUAAUGGCUCACCAAGGCGUCGACGGGUAGCCGGCCUGAGAGGGUGACCGGCCACACUGGGACUGAGACACGGCCCAGACUCCUACGGGAGGCAGCAGUGGGGAAUAUUGCACAAUGGGCGAAAGCCUGAUGCAGCAACGCCGCGUGAGGGACGACGGCCUUCGGGUUGUAAACCUCUUUUAGCAGGGAAGAAGCGAAAGUGACGGUACCUGCAGAAAAAGCGCCGGCUAACUACGUGCCAGCAGCCGCGGUAAUACGUAGGGCGCAAGCGUUAUCCGGAAUUAUUGGGCGUAAAGAGCUCGUAGGCGGUUUGUCGCGUCUGCUGUGAAAACUGGAGGCUCAACCUCCAGCCUGCAGUGGGUACGGGCAGACUAGAGUGCGGUAGGGGAGAUUGGAAUUCCUGGUGUAGCGGUGGAAUGCGCAGAUAUCAGGAGGAACACCGAUGGCGAAGGCAGAUCUCUGGGCCGUAACUGACGCUGAGGAGCGAAAGGGUGGGGAGCAAACAGGCUUAGAUACCCUGGUAGUCCACCCCGUAAA
This 645-nucleotide ribosomal RNA is filed under the name Microbacterium sp. Its description in RNAcentral is "bacterial SSU rRNA". It matches the Rfam family "Bacterial small subunit ribosomal RNA", at positions 147 to 806 of the family's 1533-position model. The record is from RNAcentral. Lineage: Bacteria; Bacillati; Actinomycetota; Actinomycetes; Micrococcales; Microbacteriaceae.